This 587-nucleotide long non-coding RNA is filed under the name Hordeum vulgare. RNAcentral's name for it is "long non-coding RNA (HVUL_LNC015981)". The record is from RNAcentral. Lineage: Eukaryota; Viridiplantae; Streptophyta; Magnoliopsida; Poales; Poaceae.
AGAGUUGUUGCCAAAUUCAGGUUGAUGAGAUGAAUGUGGGCAUCAACCGACCUCAGCAGCAGCUCCAGGAAUAGCCUUCACCUGGGUGUGUCGUGUGCAGCACCACCACCACUAGUAGCAGCAGCUCUAGGAUAAGGCCUAGAUGUGGAGUGGAGGAGUGCAGUGUGCAGCACCACCAGUAGUAGCAGCAGCUCGGGAGAGGAGGAUCGCCUGGGCCUAGAAGUGGAGGCGCUUGGACCUGGGUGCAGUCUUGGAGGUGGAGGCGCCAGGAUCUGGGUAGAGGUGGAUGUGGAGGUUGAGGACAGGGCCGACGGUGGAGGUCGAGGGCGAGGCCGGAUGUGCCAUAUAUUAUGUAGUAAUGCCAAAUAUUAUGACAUGGAUGUGUUAUAUAUAUAAUGGGAUAUGGAUUAUGUUAUAUGAUGUAUGAAUGUGCUAUGAAUUAUGUUAUAUGUUGUAUGUAUGUGUUAUGUUGGGUGCUAUAUGCUAUAUGUAUGUGUUAUGGUUUGUGAUAUAUGUGUGGAUUUUGGAUGUGUUAUGGUGUGUGCUAUAUUGUGUAUUUAUGCUAUUAUAUUAUCUAUUUCUGCUGC